AUACGGAGGGUGCGAACGUUAAUCGGAAUUACUGGGCGUAAAGCGCGCGUAGGCGGCUUUGUAAGUCGGAUGUGAAAGCCCUGGGCUCAACCUGGGAAUGGCAUUCGAUACUGCAGAGCUAGAGUAUGGUAGAGGGAAGUGGAAUUUCCGGUGUAGCGGUGAAAUGCGUAGAUAUCGGAAGGAACACCAGUGGCGAAGGCGACUUCCUGGGCCAAUACUGACGCUGAGGUGCGAAAGCGUGGGGAGCAAACAGGAUUAGAAACCCCGGUAGUCC
This 274-nucleotide ribosomal RNA is filed under the name uncultured bacterium. Its description in RNAcentral is "partial 16S ribosomal RNA". It matches the Rfam family "Bacterial small subunit ribosomal RNA", at positions 523 to 796 of the family's 1533-position model. The record is from RNAcentral.